This is a non-coding RNA of Tetranychus urticae (two-spotted spider mite), 4448 nucleotides long. The record is from RefSeq and is a predicted model, not a curated record. NCBI's taxonomy places the organism in Eukaryota, Metazoa, Arthropoda, Arachnida, Trombidiformes, Tetranychidae.
AAGCGCUAUUUGGAGUCAGUUUGCGAAUCACCUUCCGAUGCUUCAGACAAUCUUUACAGGUUGAUGGUGGCUGUUGAUAAAUUCCGGGAAUUGGGUAAAGUUGGUUGUGAAUCAAUCAAUUUAUUCGAGGCUGGUUAUCACAGAUCUUUACGAAACUUGAUCAUCGAUUCAAUGAAUAACAAGUAGACUCUAAAAGUACACUUACGUACUAUCAUUACAUUUCGAUUUGAAAGUGAAACAAGCUAAUGCAUUGACUUCGUUGUUAACUUUUUGGCCAAUUAUUCACAAAAAGCGAAGCAUUCUCCAAUGUGCUCUUCUUAAUCGUUCCGAGCCGAGAUUCAAGUCAAGUAAAUGAUUCUUUGUUUACAAUCAAAUGGUCUUGGUUAAAACAAUUAUCAUAGGAUUAAUAAGAAAAGAAGCAACAGAUAACACAGUCGUCGGAUUUAUGAAAAAACAAAAGGAGACAAAGAUACAUGUAUAUUACAUGUAAUGAAACCAUCGGGUGAAACCCGUCCUGGAUAGAUUGUGUUGGUAGAAGAGACUCUUAGCUAGUGAUUAAAGGAGGAGAGAUAUUAAUCCAUAAUAUCGUGCAUCCAUAAAUUAAACUUAUACCCACAGGAUGCCUGCGUAUCAAGAUUUUAUCACCUAUUUUUUAAUCAUUUCUUAGUUUUUAUUCGCUAUUAACCUUCAGUGCUUAUAAGUUUAACUUUCAUUUCUUUCUUAUUGAUUGCUAAAUCUUCUACUUUACUCUUUGCUCUUAACUCGAUUCAACCAAAUGUGUAGAAAGCUUUAUUCGUAUCUUAUAAAAAAAUAAUUGUGCAUAUGUGACAAGGUUUAUCAAAGAUCAAUGUAAUUAAUCCUUGGUGUUUAUCGUAGUUAAAUGGAUAAUUGUCUUACAAAGAAAAAAGUGUUACAGUUUUAGUUGAUUAUGACUUGCAACCAGAAUAAAUCUUCAGUUUAUUCAUGUUAUUCUGUUUUUUUGUGACGUUAUUAUGUUUGGUUUAAUUCUGUUAAUGUAAUUUUUUUUACAAUACAGUGAACUCUUUAAUUUCAAUCAACCAUCUACAAGUCCACCAAUGAUAGCCAAAGAUUUAAAAAACAACAAUUCGAUAAUUUCGUUGUCUCAAUUGAAAGUGCCAAAUACAAAUGAAAUGCUUUUGCAAGUAUUGUCUCCAAGUGAAGAAACGCUCAAAACUUGCUUGUACUCGGAUCAGGAUAAAAACAAAGUCAAUGACAAAACUGACUGUGAUCAGUCCACCAAUUCAUCAAAUAAUGUAAAUUUAACUGUUGAUAGAUUCCACCAUAAAAUUAGCCGCCAAUUUGGAUCAAAGAGAUCAAAACUUGACUAUAUCAACUUAUACGACACGGCAUCAGAAAGUAUUUAUUCUGAUGAUCUUGAUCGAUACGUAAUCAACAUCGUCAAUCACACUAAUCUAAGUCUCUCAGCCUUGAGUCUUAAUGGCUAUGAAAACUCAGAGACAUAUUACCAAUCUUAUGAUGAUUAUCAACCUCUACAGAGAAACUCACAAUUCACCUACAAUGAUUACGUUAAACUGAGAGCAAACAAUUUACUACUCGCCAGACUUGGAUACAAGUUGACAAUCACAUUGAAUACAGACAACGAUAGACCAGAAAUAUGGAACCCAAAAGUAGCCAAGAAAAUAUUAUCCGUUGAUUAUUCACCAUUGAGGUUGGUGAAGAAUUGUUACCCGGCAGAAGCGUCAUUGGACCAAUUUGAAACAUUCCUUUUAGCCGAAGUGGUAAAUGCUUUUCAAGCUGAUGGACCAACUAACUUGCCUGAUUUUGCAAUUAAAUGCAAAACGAAUCCCUCUCCAGUAAGAUUCGUUUCCAUAUGCAGGAAGCUUAGAAGUUUAAAGAACCUUUGUGACAACGAUAAAAUUGUCCUUAUGUGCAGCUCAUUUUAUGAUGUCGCUUUUAUGAAUAUGAUUUUGAAAUACGACCUUUCAACUGAUGAAUGGAUAAACCCAGAUUAUGGGACAAGAUUUGGGAGACGUGAUUUAUUCAUUUGGAAUCGUUUAUUACAUGAUAUGGCUAUUCCCAUUAUUGAAUCAUUUCCAGAUCGAUGGAGAAAGGAUGAAGUGGUUGAAGUUUUGAUUAGUUUGAUUCUUAUUUUCAACCCUGAUCAAGUUGGACUUAACUUUCCCGAUUCAGUUAGACAUGAUCAAUACGUUUACAUUCAUCUGCUUAAGCGCUAUUUGGAGUCAGUUUGCGAAUCACCUUCUGAUGCUUCAGACAAUCUUUACAGGUUAAUGGUGGGCGUUGAAAAAUUCCGGGAACUGGGUAAAGCUGCGUAUCAAUCAAUAAAUUCUUCCCAGCCUGGUUAUCACAGAUCUUUACAGAAAAUUAUUUUCGAUGUUAUUAAAAAGUAAAAAGCUCAAAAUCGCGAUGGAUUCAUCCGAAGACUUGGUGUAUUAAAAGCUCUUGUGUGAGAUCAAACAUUGUAUACACUAUCAUUGCAUUUCAAUUGCGAAUUGAAACAUGAGUUAUGGAAUUGAUUUUAUUGAAAACGGAAAAUCACUCAUAUUUUGGGAGUGAUAGUGUGAUCUUCUGAACUAUUCCAACUCAAGAUUCAAGUUCAAUAAAGCUAGUUAUAGAUAAAUAAUUAAUCAAUAGCGAUGAUUUGUUUUAAAUAAAAUGUUCUUUCUGAAACAAUAAUUAUAAGAUUAACCAGAGAAGCAACACUUAACGCAAUAGACGAGAAAGGUCUGGUUAAUGAAAAAGCAGAUAAAGAUUUAUAGUGAAACUCUGGUGUUGAAUGGAGAAACUCGAUCCAACAAAAUCUACAGAAAAGAUUAUUGAAAUCUUAUCAAAAAAUAACAGCUACAGUGCACAUGCUACAGUGUUUAUCUCGAUUAAAUGGAUGAUUGUUUUACAAAAAUAGGAUUGUUGGUUUUACUUUGUAAUCAAAAUAAAUCUCUAGUUCAUUUAGGUUAUUCUGUUUUUUUGUGACGUUAUUAUAUUUGGUUUACUUGUGUUGUUAUUAAAAUUUUUAUACAAUGGAUUUUAGUGAAUGUUUGAAUUUCUAUCAACCAUCUACAAGUCCACCAAUUAAAGAAGCAGAUUUGGAAAACAACAAUUCCAUAAUUACGUUGUCUCAAUCGAAAGUGUCAAGUAUUGAAAGCAUGCUUUUACAAUUAUUGUCACCAAGUGAAGAUACACUCAAAACUUGCUUGUACUCAGAUCAGGAUAGAAACAAAAAUAACAGUGACUGUGACCAACUCGCCAUUCCAUCGAAUACUGUAAUUUUGAAUGUUGAUAGAUUCCAUCUUAAAACCUGCAGUCGAUUUAGACCAAAGCGAUCAGAACUUGACUACAUCAACUCAUACGACGCGGCAUCAGAGAGUAUUUACUCUGAUACCAUUGAUCAACUCGUGUUCAAUAUCGUCCAUCAAAACAAUCUAAGUCCUGCCAUCUUGGAUAUCAAUGACAAUGAACACUCAGAAACACUUUAUUACCAAUAUUAUGAUGAAUAUCAAGCUUUACAACCCAACCAACACUUCACCUACAAUGAUUACAUCAAACUGAGAGCAAACACUUUACUACUCGCCAGACUUGGAUACAAGCUGACAAUAACAUUGAAUACAGACAACGAUAAACCAGAAACUUGGAAUCCAAAAGUAGCCAAGAAAAUAUUAUCUGUUGAUUAUUCACCAUUGAGUUUAAUAAAGGAUUUCCACACUUCACAAACGCCUUUGGAUCAAUUGGAAACUUUCCUUUUAGCAGAAGUAGUAAAUGCUUUUCAAGAUGAUGAACAAAUUAACUUGCCUGAUAUUUCACUUAAAGUGAAAGCUGCGCCACAAAAAUUUAUUUCAAUUUGCAGGAGGCUCAGAAGCUUCAGAAAACUAUGUAAUAACGAUAAAAUUGUGCUCAUGUCUAGCUCGUUUUAUGAUGUGCAUUCCAUGACUGUCGUUUUCAAUUACUUUCCUGCAACUGAUGAUUGGAUAUAAUUGUUCUUUAUCCAAGAACCCAGAUUGUGGAGCAAGAUUCGGAAGACGUGACUUAUUCAUUUGGAAUCGUUUAGUACAUGAUAUGACUAUUCCCGUUAUUGAAUCAUUCCCGGAUAGAUGGAGAAAGGAUGAAGUAGUUGAAGUUUUGAUUAGUUUGAUUCUUAUUUUCAACCCUGAUCAAGUUGGACUUAACUUUCCCGAUUCAGUCAGACAGGAACAAUACAUUUACAUUUAUCUGCUUAAGCGCUAUUUGGAGUCAGUCUGCCAAUCGCCCUGUGAUGCUUCAGACAAUCUUUACAGAUUAAUGGUGGCUGUUGAAAAAUUUCGGGAAUUGGGCAAAGCUUCGUAUGAAUCAAUCAACUUAUUCGAGCCUGGUUAUCAUAGAUCUUUACGAAACUUGAUCAUUGAUGUAAUGAAUGGCAAGUACAAUGUUGAUUCAAAAAGUGCACUGGAUAAAGUCGAAGACAUGGCAACUUAAAA